AGCGAACGCUGGCGGCAGGCCUAACACAUGCAAGUCGAACGGACCCUUCGGGGUUAGUGGCGGACGGGUGAGUAACACGUGGGAACGUGCCUUUAGGUUCGGAAUAGCUCCUGGAAACGGGUGGUAAUGCCGAAUGUGCCCUUCGGGGAAAGAUUUAUCGCCUUUAGAGCGGCCCGCGUCUGAUUAGCUAGUUGGUGGGGUAAUGGCCCACCAAGGCUACGAUCAGUAGCUGGUCUGAGAGGAUGACCAGCCACAUUGGGACUGAGACACGGCCCAAACUCCUACGGGAGGCAGCAGUGGGGAAUCUUGCGCAAUGGGCGAAAGCCUGACGCAGCCAUGCCGCGUGUAUGAUGAAGGUCUUAGGAUUGUAAAAUACUUUCACCGGUGAAGAUAAUGACUGUAGCCGGAGAAGAAGCCCCGGCUAACUUCGUG
This 432-nucleotide ribosomal RNA is filed under the name uncultured bacterium. Its description in RNAcentral is "bacterial SSU rRNA". It matches the Rfam family "Bacterial small subunit ribosomal RNA", at positions 29 to 507 of the family's 1533-position model. The record is from RNAcentral.